AGUACCUUCCUUCCAUAGUGUAAAGAUCGCACCGAAAAAAUUUCAAUUUUGCACGAAAAUAAUUUUUUGCAUAGACUUAUAAUGGAAAUCAGUCGGGUGCUAUAGUACCCCGCGCGCCUAACGGUGUAAUUUUUUUUCGCGCGACUAACGGAGGUGGGUCGAUCUGACUUCGUGUUUUGAGGGAAAGCUUAUUGGUUGAUAUAGAGUCAGUCAUGAUAGAAAUGACCAAUUAGAGCAUAAAAGGCGUAAAAACAAAAUUUUUAAAGCCAAUAAACGGCAAAAAAGUUUCCCAUAGACUUAACAUUGUCAGUUUGAAAGGUGGCGUUUUUUGGCGAUAUUUAUUGCUAAAUGGUGUUGAAAACAUGUUUAUUCGUCUAAAUAAUUUCAAGCGACUUAUUAUUAGCAAAUUAGAAGU
Molecule: long non-coding RNA, 415 nt
Organism: Centruroides sculpturatus (bark scorpion)
Lineage: Eukaryota; Metazoa; Arthropoda; Arachnida; Scorpiones; Buthidae
Exons: 2
Source: RefSeq, a predicted model, not a curated record